UUACUUGCACACCGGUACAGUUUUUGCGGGGAAGCGAAAGUUGCUGGAAUUUUGUCUUCUUCUAAAAAUAAGUCUGUCUUUGGAAGCUGUUGAAGUAACAAGAAAGAGGCUACAUUGACAUCCUGUUUUGGUAGGGAGAAGUUUGAGUAUGUACAGUUGUUUGACCUUCUUACCAUGUGACAGUCCCAGAAGAUGUUACCAUUAUGAAUAAAUGCAGGGAGUAUUAUGCUUUUGUAUGUUAAACAAAGGUCUCAAAGCAUUUAUAUGCUGUAUGACUAGAUACUUGCUUCUGAAAUAAUUGUACAACACAGCUUUAAGACUGACAUUCCUGACAAUAUGUGAAACUUCUGGACUUUAUGUCAGCCUGGCAUAUUCAUUUCCUUCCUGUAGCUUUGUGUAUCCCUCAAUUUACUAAGUACAUAUCUCCAUUAAAGAUAAUGCUAAUAGAUAUGUUUUAGUAAUAAAUGUGUGAUAGCUUUGUAAUGUAAACACUUUAGAAAUAUAAUGAAAUGUACUUUGAUAACAAACAUUGAAAUAAAAAUGUAUCAGUAUAUUGUAUCAGUCAGUAAAAAUAUGAAGUACAUUUGUAUCUUUAUAUCAAGAAAAUUGAAAUAAUUAUAUUCAAAUGCUUUGACACUGAUUUUAUAUUGGUUACCUAGAAAGGGUGUGAAUUAAUGUUUUACAAUAUUUCAGAACUUGAAGACAAUGGUUAGUGCAGAAGGGACAUAAAAGUAAUGUGAAAGUAUCAGAUAUUAAUAAGAAGUGCUACAAGUGUGUUGUCAUGUGAAAAGGACUUUACCCCAACUGUGCUGCAUGAUGUAUAUUCAAGAGUGAGACAGCCAUGCACCAUCUGUAAACUGAGAUGGACCCACACAUGAAAUAUGUUGACUUUUCUAUGUAUUAUCAUAUGUACAGAAUGUGUUUAUGACAAGACUGUAUACAUAAUUGUUAAAUCAUUUUUUAUUUCCAUUAUGACAUGCAUGCAAGAAGAAAGCAUUAAUUAAACAAUUGCAUUCAUAGAAAUGUUAAAAUGUGAUCAAUCUAAUUUAAAGAAUAACCUUUAAUUGGGCUUCCUAAGUUUCAUAUUAUUUUUGGUGGAGAUUGACCCAGUCAUUCAGCAACUUAUACUGUCUGUGAGUCAUUUCUUGUAUGUUAUAGUUUUCUUAAUAAUGCAUAAAAUAUCAAAAUAAUGGUUAGAUGAACUCAUUCAUCACUUGUACAUUAAUGUUAAAGCAGUUCAACAUUUUACGAUAACUUAAUUAAUAUUCUAUUAACCAGAUUUGUCACAUAUUUUCAUAUAAACAUUUGUAUAAUACAGUCUAAUCUAAUCUAGAAAUGAUGUUCCACAAUUUUUUAAUUAUACUUUAUUUUGUUUCGAUGUCUCAACAUAUAAUUACUAACAUCAACAAAACUUAGAUAUUUUACAAUUUGGUUGGUAUAAAUGGUUGUUUUGUUGGUAUGUUUUAUUUAUUUCCAUCCAGGGGAAUAAAGAAAUAUACAUUUAAAAUAUCUCAUUAUUCCAGAAAAGUACACUACAUAAUCAAGAUAAAAGAAAUAAGAAAAAUUAUGUUGGUGGAAUUUUAUUUAAAAAAAUUGAUAUACAGUCUUUGUAGUAUUUACUUCUUUAGACUGAACUUUGGACUGAAAUGGGAAUAACAACAUAUUUUAAAUUUUUGUAGUCAUAAGUUAAUAUGGGAAUUAUUAACUUGAAAUAGAUUUUAUCUCGCUGUUAUGCCAUCUGAGCUUUAAUAUUUUUCAACAUUGUCAUUGGCAACAAGGCUAAACAUUAUUUCUUAUGUAUACCUUGCAUUCAUGUGUGAUAAAUAUGAUUUUAUGGUAUUCUUUAAUAUGAUAUAUGCUUUUCAUCUUACCAUGGAUUAAAAAAAUAUAUAUUUAUUUGUCUGAAAAUUAAGGUAAAAAUACUGACUGUAUAAAUUGCAAUAUAUGAAAACUUAUAUGAGCUAAAGGGAGGUAAUUCCAUAAAAAAUAUGUAGAAUGUAGAUGAUAAAUAUAAUGAAGGGAGGUAAUAAAAUAUUGUGA
Molecule: long non-coding RNA, 2040 nt
Organism: Mercenaria mercenaria
Lineage: Eukaryota; Metazoa; Mollusca; Bivalvia; Venerida; Veneridae
Exons: 4
Source: RefSeq, a predicted model, not a curated record